RNAcentral lists this long non-coding RNA (14759 nucleotides) under Phaseolus vulgaris (common bean). RNAcentral describes it as "long non-coding RNA (PVUL_LNC001202)". Lineage: Eukaryota; Viridiplantae; Streptophyta; Magnoliopsida; Fabales; Fabaceae. The record is from RNAcentral.
GAAGAUAUUUUGGGGUAAGGGUCCCAUGUUAUGGACGUAAUGAAGGCCCCUUGUCCAAAAGGUUUCGUUUUCACAUCAACAGGGCUUCCAUGAGAAUGUCCUGCAAGGGAGACACGUGGCCUAUUUGAUACUCAACAUUCCCAAAAGGGUCAUCCACCGAAAGGUUAUUAUUGUCAAAGUAAUUGUAUUCAAAAUCAAAGGCGUUUUCAAGCUGUAGCCCAAUGUCAUUCCAUUUGGGGUGGCUCUGCACCUCCCUCUCCCACCUCACCUCCGCCGAAACCACCUGCUCUGAACCGCUCGACUCCGUCUGCACUCUAUGCAUCGACUCNNNNNNNNNNNNNNNNNNNNNNNNNNNNNNNNNNNNNNNNNNNNNNNNNNNNNNNNNNNNNNNNNNNNNNNNNNNNNNNNNNNNNNNNNNNNNNNNNNNNAAUUGCUCAUUCCUAAGCUUCUCAAUCUCCGGCUUCAUCUCUUGAUCGAAAUUAUCAACAAACCCAGCCUCCAUUUUCUGUGCCCCCGUGUUGAAUUUCUCAAUCUUCCCUUUCUUGUUGUAAAUUCGACACAACACCCAAUCGUCAAGCUGCACCAUAACAUCAAAAUCAGAAACUUUCAAAACAAACCAAACCAAAUCAAAAGAAAGUAAAUUAAAAUCAAAUCAAAACGUACCCUUAGGUUGUUGUUUUUCUUGGAGGCUGAUCGGUCAACAUUGGCGAGGCGAUAUUCGUGCAUGAUCCAAUUGGUUUUCUCUCCUUUCGGGGCUUUUCCCGAGUAAAAAACCAGAGCUUUCUUGAUCCCGAGCGCCUUCGGCUUUCCGAUCGGUUUAUCGGCGCCGGUGGCCUUCCAAUACCCACUUCCGGCGGCGCGGUUCGGCCGUGAGCCGUUGGGGUAUUUGCGGUCCCGAGGAGAAAAGAAGUACCAUUCUUUCUCGCCGUAAAAUCCCAUUUCUGCAAGCAGAAUCUGAUGAUGAGUGAAUUGAAUGAUAGAAAUUGAAAGUAUAGGAAAGCCAUGAGAAAUUAAACGGACCUGGAAGCUGCCAUGGAUCAAACUUGUACAAAUCGACCUCUUUGAUGAUAGGAACAGAAAUUGGUUGACCAGCGCAUUUUCUACACAGAUAGUGAUUCACCAAUUCAUCAUCCGUGGGGUGAAACCUGAACCCAGGUGGCAACUCUAAUUCACCCUUCAUUCUCUUUUCCUCUUCUCGCUUCUCUGUUCUUCCCCUUAGCUCUAAAAUCUUCUGAUUUUCAACUUUUUUUGCUUCCUGUUGUAGUUGUUGUUGGUGAAUGUUGUUGGCUCUGUGACUUGAAACGUGUGAAAGAGGAUCCCUUGGGUGGGUUUUAUAGCGUGAAGAGAUAGCAGAAAGAAAGUGAAUUUGACACGUGCGUUGAGGAGGUGGAGGCCAAAUCCAUUGAACAAAUUUAAUAGUAAUUAAAAAAUUAAAAAAAAUGUAAUGGGUGUGACAAGUGGAUGCGACGCACGUGAGAGUGUUCCACCUUUUUUUUUAUGAUUCUGUCAUUCUCUUUUCCUCUUCUCGCUUCUCUGUUCUUCCCCUUAACUCUAAACUCUUCUGAUUUCCAACUUUUUUGCUUCCUGUUGUAGUUGUUACUUGCUCUGCUCUUCCCGUCUCUGCUCUGCUUUGUUCUGUGACUUGAAACGUAUGAGAAAAUAUAGUAGGGUGGUUUUAUAGUGCGAUGGGAUGUAAAGGAGCAGAGUGAGUUGGAACACGUGGGUUGGUGAGGUGGAGGCCAAAUCUAUUUUACAAAUUUAAUAAAGAAGAAACAAAAUAAUGUAAUUUGUGUGAAAAGUUUGGUUGGACUUAGCUAGGACGCAGCCGCAACGUGGCCGUGGAUAAGUGUUCCGCUUUUUGGAUGGUUUGUCAUUGCUUACGUCACAUUUGGGGGGCAGUACCCUUUAGUUUCAAAACUAGAAUCAAUAGUUAUUGGCCACGCCUGAGUGUUUCGCUAAACGACAAUCAUUGUGUUUAGUCGAGUGUCCAUCUACGCACCCAAAUGUGUCGUGUUUCUUGCUCUGCGCAAUUGAGUUGUGCCAUGUUUCAACAUACUGUGAAUCUUAACCAAGGCACGCUUUUGUACAGAAGCAGUGUAAUAUGGCAACAAUUUAUUUACCAUUUAAGAGGAAGAAAAAGAGGAGAAUUUGUAGAAAGUUAACUCUUUUGUUCAGCUAGAUCACUGACGAAAUGUAUGGAAAGUAAAGGGUUGGGAGGGGCUGUUUUGUCCGAUACAUACUACGUUCAAAAGCCAACUUCCAAGGUUUUGCUUUAUGUUAACGCCGACAUACUUCAUUGUAUUCCAUAUAUAUAAACAUAAGCUAAUACUUUAUAUAAUUAAUUACGUAAACUGAAAAUAUUUAAUUUUUUCAUAUAAAGACAUAUGAUUAAUUAUAUUUUUAUCAUAAUUAAUAUGUUACUUUUUUUUUUCAUUCAGUAGUAAUGUAUUUGAUAGUAUAUGAUGAAUUAUGAUUAACCAUAUUAUUUAUUUUGAACACAACAAAUUAAAUAUGAACUAAAGGAAUCUGAUUUACAAUAUUCUUUGUCUUCCUUCUUUUCUAUCGAUGUUCCUUUUUCCGGUGGUCUUCUCUGAUUUCGGUGAUCUGUCCAUAAAACGGUUUAGUCAUUUUGGCCAUUGAUAUCGGAUAUGGAGCAGAUUCAUCUCUUUGUAGUGUGGGCUAUUGUUUUUUCUCCAUCUAUAAAUAUAUGCCUCUACUUUACUCCAAAAGCACAUCUCUUAUGACUUUUUUUCUCUUUUUCUCUUCUUCAUUCUUUCUUUUUCCUUUUUUCUAAUAUUUUCAGUAUCCUGAGUUUUUACCAUUUUAAAAGUUGUUUGCUAGUUUUGAUAUCCUCAGUUUUUAUCCGAGAAGUUUCUGUUAUAUCCUGAAAAACUUGUGCAAUACUCCACAAAUAAGUUCUUAUAGACAGUGAUCACUCAUGCUCGAGAAAAUCAACCUUGUUCGUGUUUUCAACUUUUAUUUACUACAAUCAUAAGUACUUAUGGCUGACAAUACUCACAACAACAACAAUUAUACACUCGAAACGUCAAACGUUGUUUCCGCAACUCAGACCGUAUUUGCAAAACCAUUUUCGAAUUUCUCGUCCCAAUGGAAAUAAUCUCACUUUCAAGAAAAAAUGAAAUUGCUUUGUCUGUGGAAGACUAGGUCAACAUGCGCCUCAGUGCAGACACAAGGCCAAAAACGACAAUCUUCCUAAGGAAAAUAUAGUCGAAGGGGAAGAUACCAUUGUUGUGGUCGUUUCACAAGUAAACUUUGUGACCAAUGUGAAUAAAUGGAUGGUAGACUCUAGGGCUUCAAGACACAUAUAUGCAAGCAAAAAUGUGUUUACUUCCUACGCAAGUGUGGGGGAUGGAGAAAAAUAAGUUUAUCUCGAUGAUUUUAGGACAACCUGCCCUAGGAAAAGGAAAGGUUCGUCUGAAACUCACAUAUGGUAAGACUUUGGCCUUAAGUGAUGUGCUGCAUGUGCCAUCGAUUAGAGUUAAUUUGAUCUCUAUAACAUUGUCGGGAAAAGUUAGGGUUAAAGUGUCAAUUGAAUCUGACAAGAUUGUUAUGACAAAAAAUAAUGUUUUUGCGGAGAAGGGAUAUCCUGAUCAAGGUCUUUUUGUAUUGAAUAUUUAUGAAGUUAUUAAUGAAUUUGGGUCUUCUGCUUAUAUUGUUGAUUUAUAUGAUGUGUGGCAUGCUAGAUUAAAACAUUUGAAUUAGUCGUAUGUUAUGAAAUUGCAACGACUAUGAUUAAUUAACAUGCAUGACAAACAAAGUAGGAAAUGUGAUAUUUGUGUAGAAUCUAAAAUAACAAAGAAAACAUGUCAUUUUGUAGAACAUCAAACUAAACUUCUUGGUUUAGUUCAUACCAAUGAUGUUGAUAAUGUGUGUAUUCUAAAUCUGGAAAUGGUGAUUGUGUCAUUAUAAAUUUAUGUGGUUGAUAACUGUCGUUUUGCUGUCAAAUUAAUAUGAUUCUAGCGUAGACUUGUCUAACACUAGAGAGAUGAUAGUAUAAUUGUGGACAAAUGUCCCCAAGUCGUCUCCCAACGAAUCCAAUAGUAAAAUCAAUUGAUCAGGGUUUAAAAUCUAUUUGCAAGCAAUAAAAGUUAGCAAUAACAAUAAAGAUAAAAAAAAAGGGUUUGAGAUAGUUGUGCAGAAAAUAUAAAAGAGAUUAAAAUAGCAAAUAAAAAGCGGUUGAUCCCAAGUUCUUCCACCAUUGAAUUCUUCACAGGUUGUCUAAAGAUUAAUCUUUUCUCAAUCCUCCAACAAAGCUAAACCAGAUUGAACAUGCGCCGAUCUGAUUCAACUGAAACUCACCAGUAAAGUAUGCGUCUACUAGUUUAAUCAAUACCCACUUUGUUUCAUGCGUAUACUCCAUGAGAAUGCUUACCUCCUCUCUCUUGAAUCAUGCGCCCAAGAAAUUAAUUAGAACAAUGCGAACUAACUAAGAAACCAAAGUUUAAGAAUAAGGAAGACUCUCAAUCAUGCGUUCAAGUACAACUCUCACAAAAACCCAGUUUUUCCCAGGAGAUUAGACAAUAAAAACAACUGCUAUAGAGAANNNNNNNNNNNNNNNNNNNNNNNNNNNNNNNNNNNNNNNNNNNNNNNNNNNNNNNNNNNNNNNNNNNNNNNNNNNNNNNNNNNNNNNNNNNNNNNNNNNNAAGGUUUAGCUCAUGCGAGCAAACAAAGAUACUAGAAAUAACUAGAAACCCUAUGAAGCUCCCUCUUCUCUCCUUGAUGCUUGUGUCCUUUUAUAGGCUUUUCUGCUCCAAGGAUCUUGGGAAAAUAUUGCAGUUUAGAUUUUGUAAACAGUUUCCACUUUCCAUAAUUCUUUUUAUUUUGCAGAAGAUUUGCUUCCAAUUCUGUUUCUGGAAUCUUGUAGCUUUUAUUUUCUCUUUCUUCUCCUCAGAAUAUUUUUUCUGUUUUGGUUCAAGAAGCCACUUGGACUUUUGCAUAUUUGGUCCAUUCACAAAGAUAGAUGCUUCCUCCGGAUAAUUUACUCUAAAAACACAAAAUUAACAAUAAUAAUAGUUAAGGCCCAAAUAAACCCAAUUAUAAGAAUAUUAAUUAAAACAAUGGAUUUAUUUAUUAUUAUAGUCCAAUAAUCUAUGAUUAAGGCUAUUGUGUGUGAAUAAAUAUAUGUUCAUCAAAUCUGGAAAUGGUGAUUGUGUCAUUAUAAAUUUAUAUGUGGUUGACAUGCUAAUUUUUGGUAAAUGCAAUCAUAUUUUUUAAAAACAAAUUUUUUUCUUGGAUCUAAGUUUGAGAUGAAAGACAUUAGUGAAACAAGUGUGAUUCUAGGAGUUAGAGUCAUAAGGAAGGGAGAUAGUAUAUUACUAUCCUAAGAACAAUACACUGAGAAUUUCUUAAGAAGUUUGAUUAUUAUGACUUUAAGUAAGUGAACACCCCUUAUGGUGCUAACUCUAAAUUAAAUAGGAACAAAGGAGAAUCUAUUUCUCAAACUCAGUAUGCCCAGAUAAUUGAGAUUUUAUUGCACUUAAUAAGCUUUUCUAAAUUAGAUAUUGUUUGUGCAGUAAGUAGCCUGAGUAGGUACACUCAAUGUCCUAGUUAGGAUCAUUGGGAUGCACUUGCGAGAAUCGUGAAAUACUUAAGAUGUAGAAUGGAUUAUGCCAUUGAAUAUAAUGGAUUUUCUGUUGUACUAUAGUGAUGCUAACUAGAUCUCAGAUUUAGAUGAGACAAAAAUCCACUAGUGGUUAUGUGUUUACACUUGGAGGAGGUGCAACUACAUGGAGAUCAGUCAAGCAAACAAUUAUUGCAAGAUCAACAAUGAAAUAUGAAUUUGUUGCUCUCGGAAAGGCUGACAGUGAAGCCAACUGGUUGAAAAAAUUCUUAAUAAACUUUCUGUUAUGAUUGAAGGCAUUGUUAUUAUCAAUUGCCAAUGAUUAUAGCUAAAAAUAAAAGUUACAAUGGAAAGAACAAACAUACAAUUGAGACAUAAUUAACGAUAUUUUAGAGCUAAACAAAUUAUUGGUUUUUAAAUUAGUUUUUAUUAUUGAUAAAUAGUUUCUGAAUUAGUAUCUAAUUAACUACCAAGAUUUUUACUACCAAUUUUAAAAUUUAAAUAAUUAGAAUAUAAAUUGGAGUACUCACAAUAUUCCUAUUUAUUUUAUUUUUUAUUAUUAAUAAAAAAAAUCGUCUAAUAUAAAUAGAACUACAUGUGAUAUUAUCAAAGAGUAAAAAAACAAUUGCAGGAUUUUGAUUAAAUAAAGCAAGGAAAACGGUGGUGGCAGAGGAUCUAUAGCCCCCAGUUUAAAUAAGGAAAAAUUAUACCUUAACAACCUAUAUAUAAUUUUUUAUGUAAUAAUUAUGAAAAAAUAUAAUUAAAAAUAAAUUUAUAAUUAAAUAAUAUGAAAAAUAAUUAAAAUAAUAACAUUAAAAUGUUGGAAUCAUAAUUUUAAAUAAAACUUAAAAAUUAGUUCAUCAGUGCAUACCUACACAUAGAGCGUCAUCACCUACUUGCAUCUCCGCGUCUGUAACACACCAAAACCAACACCAACCACUGUUUUUUUUUUUCCGGUUCUUGUCCUCCAAGAUAUUGAAUACAACCUUCGCCAGCCACAAGAAUAGUCUUCGCACGUUUUCCUUUUUUAGUAUUUGUAUCACUGUCAUGUACUCAUCACAUUAAUUAUUCAUUGAAUGUUCAGUUCAUGAAUCACAACUCUUCUUAUCUUAACAUAUCUGCGAUGCGAAAAAUCAACAAUGUGUUGGGUCCCCUCACAGAUUAAAUAUUAAUGUUGCAUUCAAUACGUUUUUAUUUGUUGGAGGACUUAAAAAACAUUUACUUUCUGUACAUAAACAGUUACAAACCUAUAAUAAAACAAUGCCUUCGUUUAGCAAAAACAUUUCUUGGUCCGUCAAACAAGUAAACAAAAAUACGGCGCGGUAUUACUAUGAUAUAAAACUAUAUUUAAGCUCUCUUGUUUUUUUAGCCAUAAUCAUAAAAAGAAGACCAAUGGUAAAUUGAAAUACUGUGGGGCACUUGCACCAAAAAACAUGCAUGUGUAGUCAGAAACAUUAGACAAAUUUAUCAAAAAGUUUUUCAUGCAUUGGUCCUCUCCUACUUUUUUCUUCCUAUACUCACUUUGUUUACUUAUGCCUAAGUGCCUAAUUAUGCUGCCUUUUUUAACCUGCUUGCAUUAAAAUGACAUGGUAAUAUAGAAAAAAUAUUAAAUAUAUUUUCUUAUUAGCAUAUAAAAUUGAUUUUGUUCAAAGUCAACACUUUAAAUUCUCUAAGUUUUUUAGCAUCCACAUUAUUGAAAUGAGUGAAUGAUAGUAGAUAAAAAUAAUCUUUUAUAUAAAUUUUAAAAUAGUUAAAAAAAAUAAAUUAUUUUUUAAUUAUAAUAUAUUUUUUAAAAUAUUUUAAAUCUUUUUUUAUAAAAAAAUAUUUUAUAUAAGAAAAUAAGGUUAAAAUUGAUUUUAGAACAAAACUUUUAUAUUGACGUACACAGUCACUACUUAUUAUUGAUGUAAAUAUUAACUAAAAUUUCAUAAAAAAAUUAAUAUAUUUAUUUUAAUAGUUUUUAUACUACAACAAUUUAAAACAUCUAAAAUUUUGACUCGAAAUAACGUGAUAAGUGACGAAAUACCUAUCUAACUCUAUAAAAAAAAAAUAGGUCAAAGGUAUAAGAGAGAAUAUUCUUAUGAUGUGAUCUUAAUUAAAAUAUGAAGAUUGAAUUGAAGAAACGUAGUGCAUGACUCAUGAUCAUGGUGUGUGUGGAAGAUACCUGGAUGUUUCCUUCAAACACAUUUAUUUGGUCUGAGAUUAAGCUGAUUAGGUAAGAUAUUCCAUGGAUUAGGAUACAUCACCACCCAUUUUUUAUUCCCCCCACUCAUUUCUUGUCCCUUUCUUUUCAAUUUUCCCAACUUGCAUCAAACCCUUUUCAAUAUCCUUUGACUUCCACUUUUUUAUUUUUCCCCUUUUCUUCGCAUCUCCAAAAACACUAAAUUUUGCACAUAUUAAUCAGUUCAUUCUAUAUUAGGAAAAACUUAGACACAAUGUUAUACUGCUUAUUCUAUUGGAUGCAAAACUUCACUUUCUAAUACUCAAUGAUACUUAAUAAAUAUUUUAUUAUAUUUUGACUCUAAUUAUAGACUACGAGAAAAUCAUCAAAUAGAAACCAAUAUUUAGAUACCAAAAUAAUUAGUUGCAGUAAUAACUAAAUUAGAAACCACUUUAGAAACUAAAAAAGAAUUGGUUUCUAAAUUAGUUUCUAUUAUUGUGAAAUAGAUUUUAAAUUGGUAUCUAAUUAGGUACCAAUGUUUUAACUAUCAAUUAUUUAGAUUUUAAAUUUGAUAGCAAAAAUCUUAAUUGAUAAUUAGAUACCAAUUUAGAAACUAUUUCACAAUAAUAGAAACUAAUUUAGAAACUAUUUUUUUAGUUUUUUUUAAAAGAGUAUCUAAUUUAGUUACUAUUUUAUUUUGAUAUCUAAAUAUUAGUUUCUAUUUGAUGAUUUUCUUGUAGUGAUAACUCCACCAACAUCCACAUUUCUAUAUCUAUAUUUUGUUUGUCAAUCGAAUUUGGUCUCUAUAUACUUAGGUGAUAACGACUAAUUCUCUAGAUGAAAAAUGUAUUAAAAGAAAUUUAUAACUUUUCUUAGUCAAAAGAUUAUCUGAAGGGUUUAAAGUUUAUAACUCUCAAGGCUUUAACAAAUCAAACUAAACUAAACCUUAAGUUGCAUAUUAUUUUGAAAUUGAGUUAGUAAUAUUUUAAAUACAUUUUUUGUAAAGUAUUUUACAAAUGAUUAUGAGUUUCAACUUUCAAAAAAACAUAAUAUUUGAAUAAUAUUUAAAUGUAGUUAUUAAUUCUAAUAAAUUUUAUAUUUUGGUAUUGUUUUAUUUAUUGUUGUUAUUAUAAGUAUAUUACUAAGUGAAUUUUAAAUUUAUUAUGAGAUCGAUUUAUAAAAUGAAAUUUAUAUUAAAAUACUAGUAUGAAAGGUUAACAAUCUAUUCAUAAAAUAAUAUUUAUUCAUUUAUAUAUAUAUAUAUUUAUUUAUUAAAAUGUGAGUAAGAUUAGUAAGAUAUAUGAAUAUGAUCCUAGAAUAGUCAGGAAUUUAUUUUCUCAGACCUUUCAGUGAUAGUGGUACCCAUUGAUGGUCUUUGAAAUGGGACAUUUUGUGGUGGGGUAGAAUAGGUUUUACUUGGGAAACGAGUAUGGUGAAAAUGUAGUGAGAUUAGGUCCAAGUGAAAUGAACAUCCUGGUUUCAUUAAUUUAAUGUGCUCCUUCUCGGAACCCUCUUCAUCCUUAUUGCCAGCUGCAAUCUUUGACUUCAGCUUUUCUGACUCUCAAAUGUUAGUAAAGAAGAUUGAUAUUUUCAGUUUCUUAGUUCAUCUUGUUUGAUUUACAAAAAUUGUGACUAAGUAAUUUCCUCACUUAAUUUAACUUGGAGACAUUAAUUAAUUAUUUAAAAAUUUAGAAAGUAUUUAUAUAAUUAUUAUUUUUAAAUAUAGAACAAAAUAAAUAAAUAAUAUCUCAGACCGUUUUUUAAGGAGCAACAGUGUAAUAAUUUAAUAAAAUAAAAUGGAUUGUCCGGUUUUCCCACUUGCGCAUUUGUCUCUUUGUGCUCGCAAUUUAAAUGACGAUGAAGUAUGUUGAAUUUUUUUUAUACCUUCAUAUUGAUUUUUUUUUAAUUUUAAAGAAUAUUAUUUAAAAAUAAUUUUUCAAAAGAAUAUAACUCAAAUAAAAAUUUGAUUUUAAAGUAUAAUCUAAAAAAAUUGCAUGAUAAAAUAUUAGUAGAAAUAAAAUUAGUUUUUCUGAAAAAUUAAAUUCAAAUAACUUACAUCACAAAGUAUAAAUUUAAAUAUAAUUAAUCUUUUUAAAAACAACUUAAUUCUGAAAACAAAUCUCAAUAAAAUUUAUUACAUAGCUUAUGGAAUUGGAUAUCAUAAUAUUUGUAACCAAAAAAAAAAAGUUUUGAUGGAGAUUAUUUAGUGGAAAUUAAUAUUAUCUUAAAAAUUGAUUUAAUUAAUGUAAGUUUUUUUAAAAUUGGGUAAGUUUCAAAUGUUAUUCUAAAACCGUAGCAAAUUAACGAAUUUUUUUUAUUUUUUAAUAAGUUCCAAAUGUUUAUUCUACAACCUCAGCAAAUUAACGGAAGUCUUUUUUAACUUUUGUUAAGUUUCAAAUAUUUAUUCUAAAAUCUUAACAAAAUAAUGGAGAUUUUUCAAUCUUUGUUAAAUUCCUAAGAUUUAUUAUAGAACCUCAAUAAACACUCCAGAUUUUUCAAACUUCAAUAAAUAAAUAUAAUUAAAUAUAUUUAUGAAUAAAAAAUUAAAAAUUAUAUAGUUUUAAUAUAUUGUAUAACUAAAAUCUCUUAAAGAAAGUGUAACUUUACAUUACAAAUAAGUUUUUUAAACUUUAAAAAAAUUAUUUUAAAAACUCAACAAAAUAACCUUCGAUAAUAAAUAUUUCAACAACUAAUCUUGGAUGAUAACUAUUUCAACAACUAAUCUUGGAUGAUAACUAUUUCAACAGUAUUUGCAUAUUUCUUAUGAUUGAUGAUAGUUGGUUUAUAUAAUUCCAAGUUUUUUUGUUACCAGCUCAUACUUCAAAAAAACUUGACUUAUUUUGUUUUAGCUUUUGAUGUACAUAUAUUUUAUGUGCGGUUUUAGUUUUAGUUAUAAUUGUUAAUAUUUAAUUCUUAUAAUUUUGAAAUAUUUUAAAUUAAGGUCUUUAUUUUAAAAUGCAUGUGAAAGUGAGAAGUAAUCAAGUUAAUUUCUUCUCGCAAUAUGUCUUGCAAUCUUUAAAGCCCUUGUAGUCAAGAACACACAUGCCUUUAAAGCUCACAUCUGACAGAUAAUGCAAUUAUUUAGAAUUUAUAAAGCAAUGGUAAACAUCAGUUUUUGUCGAGCUAGGUAACAAUGGCUUGUGACCCAAGUUGAGACUGUAAGGUGAUGGAAGAAGCAAUAUUGGAGUAAGAAGAAGUUAGUGCCUUAUUUAGUGUUUCUUCUCUUAGAUACAAUAGACAUAAGUGUGACUAAAUUGUGAUUCCUUGUUAGGACUGGCGUCAAUGACUAUUGAGUCUGUGCCGAAAAGCAGUGUAUCUACGGUGGAAGAGAAAAGUCAAGAGGAUCAUUAAAGAUGGUGGGAAAUGGGGUUGAAGGUUAUUUCAGACAACAAAUCAUUUUACGAAAAUUUUGAAACUCAUGGUAUUUUACGGAGGUUCUUAAACACAUGGUAUUUCUGAAAGACUUUUCUUAAGGUUUAAGAAAACCCCAUGGAACACGUUCUCCAAGGAUGGUUUAGUGGAGGAAAUUACAACCUUGGAUAAAUAACUUAAUAGAAAUUUUACUCCUGUAUAAUAUAAAAAUAAACCCUCGUCAAAAUAAUUUUUUCUUGUAGUGAACUUGAUGAGAAUCAGAAAGAUGUUAUCAAUAGAAGAAAUGGAUAAGGGCCAAAGCAUUUAAAGUUCUUCUUAUUAGUCUUUGCAAAAGAUGAGGCCCAAGCCCAAAGCCCAAGCCCAAGAAGGCCCAAGCCCAAAAAGCCCAAGUCCAAACCAUGAGGGGCAAGGCCAAGCAUUAAAUAAAAGAGCAUCAUUUGAAUGACUCUUGUAGGAGGUGUGGAUAUUAAAUAAAUAGGUGUGAAUGUAUUAGAGAGAGUCACAUUGUCCAUGUGACUUAGUAGGGGGGUGUAGGUGUAGUUUUUUAGGAGGUGUCAUAGUAGAAAAAGGUCACACCUCCCAUGUGACUUGUUUUUGGUGAGAAUUUCAAAUGAGUUUUAUUUGAAAUUUCCCACCUAUUUUUCAGCACCUCUAGGCUAUAAAUAAGGUGCUUUCCUUUGUAAUUUUCAGAUUGGAAUUAUAUAGUAGAGAGACUAUACUCAAUUUUGGAGAGAAUUUGUGAGUUUUGAGUCUUCCUCUUCUUUGCCUUAUCUUGUGAGCUAUGGUGAGCUUCAAGUGGUCAUCACUUAUCUUGGUUCAAGGUUCCAAGUGGCGUGAAUGGCUUCUUCCAAUUCUCAAAAUCCAGCAAGCAUCUUCUUCUAUAAGUGUUCUUCUUCCCUUUUCUUCAAUUUUCCAUUCGGUAGUUUUGGUUCCUAGAGUUUACUUCUUUUUCUACCGUUUAAUUUUGUGUUUCCAGCAUUGUGUUCUUAAUUCUGUUUUGGUUCAGUAGCUAUCAUUUAAAUUCUGUCCAGUUUUAAUUCUUGUUCUUCUUUCCUUGUGUUUUGAUUCAAUUUGACAAUACAUGGACUUCCAUAUGAGUCUUGGUUGGUGCUAAGUUUUGGUGAGUUCUUGAAUUUAGAACAUUGAUCCAAUUCUAAAGUAAAGUGCCUUUCAAAUCCAGCUCAAGUUGUUCCUAAGAAUGUCAAGAAUCAUGUGUUCUUGUAGUUACAUUCACAUCAGAACUAUUAAGAAACAACUCAUACACUUUACUCAUUGAUAUUCACUAAAAAUAUCUAUUUUAUAUUAAUAUAUAUAUAUAUAUAUAUAUAUAUAUAUUAACACAUUUCUCUAUUGUUGUCUCUAACUCCAUUAAAAAUAUCUAUUUUCUAUUUAUUUCAUAUUAAUUCAGAUAUAUACAUUAACACAUUUUUUUUUAUUGUAAUUAAUAAGGGCAAUGUUUUAAAGUAGUCUUGUGUUUGGACUUCUUAUAUCCUAAAAGCUAUUUUUUUAUUAUUGCGUAUAUUUUAUUAUCAUUCAUUCAUUUAGCAUAAACAUUAAUUAGUAUGCAUAAACAUUUUCUUGAAUGGUUUAACAACUACAGAAGUGUUAUAUCAUCUGUGCUUCUAAUUAAUUAGUAUAAUCAAUUUACAUAUAAGUAUGUAUGUGACUAUUUCACAGGUUCAUGAUGAGAGAAACAAGGUGAUUGACCCAAACAUGAAGCCAUUAGCUUGGGGUCCUAAUUCAUCUGUAACAUCAUGGAACAUGUACUUUGUUAAUGGGUAUAAAUUCCAUACAAAGGCAUGAAGUGAAGGAAAGAAAACCACAAAUUAUGGGGAGCAUAUAAAAGGUGUAACAGAAAGAGGACAAGAUGAUUUCUUUGACGUCAUCAAACAUAUUUAUGAAUUAGAAUAUCUUGGUUUGAGUAAGAAUAUUCCCCUUUUCUUUUGUGAUUGGUUUGAUCCAACCAAUAAUAGAGACACCAAAGUUCAUUUAGAAUAUAACAUUGUAAAAAUCAAAAUGAGUAGAAGAUAUAUUCCAUACGAUCCCUUCAUUCUUCCACAAAAAGUAAGACAAGUUUACUAUGUGCCUUAUCCAAAGAUUUGCAGGAACUUGCAUGGUUGGAGCGUGGCAAUCACAAUAAAGCCCCAAGGUCAUGUUGAAGUUGAUAAGAUACAAAAUGAUUUACCUUAUUAGCUUGAUGAAAUGCCUAAUGUGUUACCAAUUAUAAGAAAACGCCUUUUUGAUAUGCUCAGUAAAGCUAAGGGGAAAACGACAAAACCGAGCUAGAUUUGUCUCUUAAACUAUUGGGAUUCUAAAAAGUUCAAUGAGAAAUUAGUUCAAAAAUAAAUGGAACAGGUCAUCGAUUCGAGGUGAGACAUUGAACUUUAAUGUUAGACUUUUCCAUUAAUUUCAGGAAUAUAAAUGUAGCUGACGGGUUGAACUGAUGAGUUCACACCCUAAGAAUGAUGAAUUUUGGAUAGAUAGUCGUUAUCAUUUAUAAUAAUGAUAUCAUUAUUAAAAAUAAUAUUAAGAGAAAUAAUAAAUAAUAUUUGUAAAAUUAUUAAUAAUAAUAAUAUUUGUGAAUUAGGUCAUUAUGCACCAAUAACAAAUAACAAGAAAUAUAAUGACCGGUCAUUUAUUAUUUUAAUCAGUAAUCAAUUUUAAUCAUCUAGUGAUUGAUUUUUUUGUCGCUAUUUAUAAUUUUUCUUGAAAUAUCUAUAAAAAGAAAAUUUUUCGUAAUGAAAUUAUCAACAUUUUCAUAUUUAUUGAUUGUACCAUCAUUAGUUAUAAACAAUUUAUAUGCUGGAUGAUUCCAUAAGCAUCGUCAAGUUAUUUAUUAAUAUUAUUUGCUGCUGUUUAGUACUUCGAUUUUUUUUCUCUCUUUGAUGAACUCAUUUACUUCGACAAAGUAGCAUAUUAUAUAAUAUGACGAAGUCUCAUAUGUAUACACUCUGAGACCAAGAUACACUGCACAAUUUCCAUUCUUUAAAUUGAAAAGUAGAAGUUGUAUAUUACAUAUAUAUGAAAAAAUCAUAAAUGGCACAAGAAUUUUCAUGGUGGAGUCCCUACAGCUACACUUUAACCCUCCAAAAACCUAUCAAUGAACAACACCUUGUUGAGCUAAUUCUGCUCCUACUCUGCUUUUUACUCAUUUCCCUGCAUACCUAAUCCAAAAAGCCCAGUUCAGCCGAAUUCAACAUUCCCUGACCUCUCCAGAACAAAGAACAAGAAUAGUUACUAGUACUACACGUGCAUCACUGUUGGGUCCACACACUAAGUCUGGUUCCACGUGUGGUCGUAGUAGUUAGGUGAAUGCAAUAGCAUACCAAUGCUGACUUUACAAAAUAAUGAAGAUAUUUUGGGGUAAGGGUCCCAUGUUAUGGACGUAAUGAAGGCCCCUUGUCCAAAAGGUUUCGUUUUCACAUCAACAGGGCUUCCAUGAGAAUGUCCUGCAAGGGAGACACGUGGCCUAUUUGAUACUCAACAUUCCCAAAAGGGUCAUCCACCGAAAGGUUAUUAUUGUCAAAGUAAUUGUAUUCAAAAUCAAAGGCGUUUUCAAGCUGUAGCCCAAUGUCAUUCCAUUUGGGGUGGCUCUGCACCUCCCUCUCCCACCUCACCUCCGCCGAAACCACCUGCUCUGAACCG